GACCUUGGCUUAGUGGUAGAACAUCUGUUUGGUAUGCAGAAGGUCCCAGGUUCAAUCACCAGCAUCUCCU
Molecule: transfer RNA, 70 nt
Filed under: Sphaerodactylus townsendi
Lineage: Eukaryota; Metazoa; Chordata; Lepidosauria; Squamata; Sphaerodactylidae
Description: tRNA-Thr
Source: RNAcentral